This 1346-nucleotide ribosomal RNA is filed under the name uncultured bacterium. Its description in RNAcentral is "partial 16S ribosomal RNA". It matches the Rfam family "Bacterial small subunit ribosomal RNA", at positions 28 to 1381 of the family's 1533-position model. The record is from RNAcentral.
GACGAACGCUGGCGGCGUGCCUAACACAUGCAAGUCGAACGGAAAGGCCCUGCUUUUGUGGGGUGCUCGAGUGGCGAACGGGUGAGUAACACGUGAGUAACCUGCCCUUGACUUUGGGAUAACUUCAGGAAACUGGGGCUAAUACCGGAUAGGAGCUCCUGCUGCAUGGUGGGGGUUGGAAAGUUUCGGCGGUUGGGGAUGGACUCGCGGCUUAUCAGCUUGUUGGUGGGGUAGUGGCUUACCAAGGCUUUGACGGGUAGCCGGCCUGAGAGGGUGACCGGCCACAUUGGGACUGAGAUACGGCCCAGACUCCUACGGGAGGCAGCAGUGGGGAAUAUUGCACAAUGGGCGGAAGCCUGAUGCAGCAACGCCGCGUGCGGGAUGACGGCCUUCGGGUUGUAAACCGCUUUCGCCUGUGACGAAGCGUGAGUGACGGUAAUGGGUAAAGAAGCACCGGCUAACUACGUGCCAGCAGCCGCGGUGAUACGUAGGGUGCGAGCGUUGUCCGGAUUUAUUGGGCGUAAAGGGCUCGUAGGUGGUUGAUCGCGUCGGAAGUGUAAUCUUGGGGCUUAACCCUGAGCGUGCUUUCGAUACGGGUUGACUUGAGGAAGGUAGGGGAGAAUGGAAUUCCUGGUGGAGCGGUGGAAUGCGCAGAUAUCAGGAGGAACACCAGUGGCGAAGGCGGUUCUCUGGGCCUUUCCUGACGCUGAGGAGCGAAAGCGUGGGGAGCGAACAGGCUUAGAUACCCUGGUAGUCCACGCUGUAAACGGUGGGUACUAGGUGUGGGGUCCAUUCCACGGGUUCCGUGCCGUAGCUAACGCUUUAAGUACCCCGCCUGGGGAGUACGGCCGCAAGGCUAAAACUCAAAGGAAUUGACGGGGCCCCGCACAAGCGGCGGAGCAUGCGGAUUAAUUCGAUGCAACGCGUAGAACCUUACCUGGGUUUGACAUGGAUCGGGAGUGCUCAGAGAUGGGUGUGCCUCUUUUGGGGUCGGUUCACAGGUGGUGCAUGGCUGUCGUCAGCUCGUGUCGUGAGAUGUUGGGUUAAGUCCCGCAACGAGCGCAACCCUUGUUCACUGUUGCCAGCACGUUAUGGUGGGGACUCAGUGGAGACCGCCGGGGUCAACUCGGAGGAAGGUGGGGAUGGCGUCAAGUCAUCAUGCCCCUUAUGUCCAGGGCUUCACGCAUGCUACAAUGGCUGGUACAGAGAGUGGCGAGCCUGUGAGGGUGAGCGAAUCUCGGAAAGCCGGUCUCAGUUCGGAUUGGGGUCUGCAACUCGACCUCAUGAAGUCGGAGUCGCUAGUAAUCGCAGAUCAGCAACGCUGCGGUGAAUACGUUCCCGGGGCU